AUUGAACGCUGGCGGCAUGCCUUACACAUGCAGGUCGAACGGCAGCGCGGACUUCGGUCUGGCGGCGAGUGGCGAACGGGUGAGUAAUACAUCGGAACGUACCCUGUUGUGGGGGAUAACUAGUCGAAAGAUUAGCUAAUACCGCAUACGACCUGAGGGUGAAAGUGGGGGACCGCAAGGCCUCACGCAGCAGGAGCGGCCGAUGUCUGAUUAGCUAGUUGGUGGGGUAAAGGCCCACCAAGGCGACGAUCAGUAGCUGGUCUGAGAGGACGAUCAGCCACACUGGGACUGAGACACGGCCCAGACUCCUACGGGAGGCAGCAGUGGGGAAUUUUGGACAAUGGGGGCAACCCUGAUCCAGCAAUGCCGCGCGUGUGAAGAAGGCCUUCGGGUUGUAAAGCACUUUUGUCCGGAAAGAAAUCGCGCUGGUUAAUACCUGGCGUGGAUGACGGUACCGGAAGAAUAAGCACCGGCUAACUACGUGCCAGCCGCCGCCGUAA
This 500-nucleotide ribosomal RNA is filed under the name uncultured bacterium. RNAcentral's name for it is "partial 16S ribosomal RNA". It matches the Rfam family "Bacterial small subunit ribosomal RNA", at positions 29 to 523 of the family's 1533-position model. The record is from RNAcentral.